Molecule: small RNA, 78 nt
Filed under: Flavobacterium sp. 1
Lineage: Bacteria; Pseudomonadati; Bacteroidota; Flavobacteriia; Flavobacteriales; Flavobacteriaceae
Description: Flavo-1 RNA
Rfam family: Flavo-1 RNA
Source: RNAcentral
AUUUAGCCCUGAUCGAAGUGAUAUCCUUUGUGGUUUUCCUUUAAAACCACAAAGAUUUAACGAAGAGCAGGAACCAUA